UUCGCAAUGCCCGAAAGGGUGACGAAGCGACGCCGCGUGUGGGAAGAAGGCCUUCGGGUUGUAAACCACUGUCGGGAGUUAGGAAGUGUAGGGGUGUUAAUAGCGCCUCUACUUGACUAAGGCUCCGGAGGAAGCCACGGCUAACUCUGUGCCAGCAGCCGCGGUAAUACAGAGGUGGCAAGCGUUGUUCGGUAUUAUUGGGCGUAAAGAGCACGUAGGUGGUUUUGUAAGUCAGAUGCGAAAGCCUUCUGUUCAAAGGAAGAACGGCAUCUGAAACUGCAAAUCUUGAGUGUAGGAGGGGAGAGUGGAACUCCUGGUGGAGCGGUGAAAUGCGUAGAUAUCAGAAGGAACGUCGGCGGCGAAAGCGACUCUCUGGCCUAUUACUGACACUGAGUGUGCGAAAGUUAGGGGAGCAACCGGGAUUAGAUACCCCGGUAGUCCUAACUGUAAACGAUGGGCACUAAGUAGAGGGGUUUU
Molecule: ribosomal RNA, 477 nt
Filed under: uncultured anaerobic ammonium-oxidizing bacterium
Lineage: Bacteria
Description: bacterial SSU rRNA
Rfam family: Bacterial small subunit ribosomal RNA
Source: RNAcentral